UACGAAGGGGGCUAGCGUUGCUCGGAAUCACUGGGCGUAAAGCGCACGUAGGCGGCUUCUUAAGUCAGGGGUGAAGUCCUGGAGCUCAACUCCAGAACUGCCUUUGAUACUGAGGAGCUUGAGACCGGGAGAGGUGAGUGGAAUUCCCAGUGUAGCGGUGAAAUGCGUAGAUAUUGGGAGGAACACCAGUGGCGAAGGCGGCUCACUGGACCGGUACUGACGCUGAUGCGCGAAAGCGUGGGGAGCAAACGGG
Molecule: ribosomal RNA, 253 nt
Filed under: uncultured bacterium
Lineage: Bacteria
Description: partial 16S ribosomal RNA
Rfam family: Bacterial small subunit ribosomal RNA
Source: RNAcentral